CCAGCUCCAAUAGCGUAUAUUAAAAGUUGUUGCAGUUAAAAAAGCUCGUAGUUGGAUUUCUGGUGGGAGGGAACCGUCCGAUCUCAGAUUGGUGCGUGUUCCUCUCCGGCCAUCCUUGAGUCUAACCUCCUUGGCAUUAAGUUGUCGAGGUGGGGGAUACUCAUCGUUACUGUGAAAAAAAUUAGAGUGUUCAAAAGCAG
RNAcentral lists this ribosomal RNA (200 nucleotides) under uncultured eukaryote. RNAcentral describes it as "partial 18S ribosomal RNA". It matches the Rfam family "Eukaryotic small subunit ribosomal RNA", at positions 585 to 783 of the family's 1831-position model. The record is from RNAcentral.